RNAcentral lists this ribosomal RNA (116 nucleotides) under Pteropus alecto (black flying fox). Lineage: Eukaryota; Metazoa; Chordata; Mammalia; Chiroptera; Pteropodidae. The record is from RNAcentral.
GUCUAUGGCCAUGCCACUCUGAACAAGCCCAAUGUCUGAUCCUGGAAGUGAAGCAGGGUCAGGCCUGGUUAGUAUUUGGAUGGGAGACCAUCUAGGAAGACCAGGUGCUGUACAAU